Molecule: ribosomal RNA, 371 nt
Filed under: uncultured organism
Description: bacterial SSU rRNA
Rfam family: Bacterial small subunit ribosomal RNA
Source: RNAcentral
CGGGGGGGGCAAGCGUUGUUCGGAAUUACUGGGCGUAAAGGGCUCGUAGGCGGCCAACUAAGUCCGACGUGAAAUCCCCAGGCUUAACCUGGGAACUGCGUCGGAUACUGGAUGGCUUGAAUUCGGGAGAGGGAUGCAGAAUUCCAGGUGUAGCGGUGAAAUGCGUAGAUAUCUGGAGGAAUACCGGUGGCGAAGGCGGCAUCCUGGACCGACAUUGACGCUGAUGAGCGAAAGCUAGGGGAGCAAACGGGAUUAGAUACCCCGGUAGUCCUAGCCCUAAACGAUGAAUGCUUGGUGUGGCGGGUAUCGAUCCCUGCCGUGCCGAAGCUAACGCAUUAAGCAUUCCGCCUGGGGAUACGGUCGCAAGGCUG